Molecule: long non-coding RNA, 1361 nt
Organism: Scylla paramamosain (green mud crab)
Lineage: Eukaryota; Metazoa; Arthropoda; Malacostraca; Decapoda; Portunidae
Exons: 4
Source: RefSeq, a predicted model, not a curated record
UUUGGAUGCUAACCGGGGUAAGAACAUAAGAACAUAAGAAAUAAGGGAAGCUGCAAGAAGCGACCAGGCUUACACGUGGCAGUCCCUGUAUGAAACACUCCUACCUAUUUCCAUCUGUUAUCCCCAUCCAUAAACUUGUCUAAUCUUCUCUUAAAGCUCUCUAGUGUCCUAGCACUAACAACAUGAUUACUGAGUCCGUUCCACUCAUCUACCACUCUAUUUGAGAACCAAUUUUUUCCUAUCUCCUUCCUAAACCUAAAUUUUUCAAGCUUGAACCCGUUAUUUCUUGUUCUACCCUGGUUGCUGAUCCUAAGAAUUUUGCUUACAUCUCCCUUGUUAUAACCCUUAUACCACUUAAAGACUUCUAUCAGAUCCCCUCUUAACCUACGUCUCUCUAGAGAAUGUAAAUUUAACCGCUUCAACCUCGCUUCGUAAGGAAUACUCCUCAUCCCCUGUAUCCUUUUAGUCAUUCUCCUCUGUACUGAUUCUAAUAGACCUAUAUCUUUCCUGUAAUGUGGGGACCAGAACUGCACAGCGUAAACUCAAUCAUCUUCCAAGACUGAAUAACAUUAUGCUUGUGGCGCUUCCUGGCUUUCCACUUUCCCUUACAUAUCCAGUCACGCGGCAAUUUCAAAAUACACGUUAGAAUAUUUUCGCGAACGGUGAGUUUAUUUGACGGUUUAAAAUUGUUUGGAUUUGUCACACACGUGACUACUCUACCACGGAACCAGGUGCCUGCCUCUCAACUCGUGGCGCUGCCACGUGUAUAGCUUGAGGCAUACUGGAUACGUGACCUCUAGCAGGCUACCAAGCCGAUAACGAGGGGUGGAGUUCCAUCGAGCUUCAGUCUCCUCCAAGGGUCGCUACAGCUCUGAGUUCGCCUUAGCAUACGCUGGGAGCCUCAUAUACACUCGAGAGCGGUGCCAAGCUUUCAACGUGCAAGAGAAAUGCCGUGUCUUCUCACGUCCCUCUACCCAACAACUGUCGCCCCGGGGACGCACAGAGGGACAAGUGUUCUGAGUGGAGCAUUGGCGCGAACGUGACUGACGCUGCCAUCAAUUUCCCCCUGCAAGCUGUGAGUUAUCCCGCACUCUACGCGCCAGUAAUGAAAAAUAAGGAGGCUGUGGCGUCCAAGUUGGUGGGAGAUGCAUCGCGCCAUCAUAUGCACACACUGACACGGCACGAGCAAGGGGAACGUGUGUGUACAUGCUGCUUCGUGUUUCAUACAUACAGAUGAGGGGCGCUGCACUAAGGGGACGUGACUGGAUGAGCGCGGGUAGGGUGGCCAUGAAUGCGGUGGAAUGGCGGCCCUGAUGGUGGUCAUCCACCCAUUAAGUGUUCCCCGCCCCUCAACUAAGAGA